This 238-nucleotide ribosomal RNA is filed under the name uncultured bacterium. RNAcentral's name for it is "partial 16S ribosomal RNA". It matches the Rfam family "Bacterial small subunit ribosomal RNA", at positions 97 to 334 of the family's 1533-position model. The record is from RNAcentral.
GGCGAACGGGUGAGUAACACGUAGGAAUCUACCCAGAAGUGGGGGACAACCCGGAGAAAUCCGGGCUAAUACCGCAUACGCCCUAAGGGGUAAAGCGGGGGACCUUUUCGAAGGCCUCGCGCUUUUGGAUGAGCCUGCGUCGGAUUAGCUUGUUGGUGAGGUAAUGGCUCACCAAGGCAACGAUCCGUAGCUGGUCUGAGAGGAUGACCAGCCACACUGGGACUGAGACACGGCCCAG